RNAcentral lists this small RNA (108 nucleotides) under Marmota monax (woodchuck). The record is from RNAcentral. Lineage: Eukaryota; Metazoa; Chordata; Mammalia; Rodentia; Sciuridae.
GCUGGGCAUGGCUGGGCAUGCCUGUAAUCCCCGCUACUUUGUGAGGCUGAGACAGGAGGGUUGCAAGCUCAAGGGCGGCUUCAGCAACUUAGCAAGACCCUGUCUCAA